RNAcentral lists this ribosomal RNA (497 nucleotides) under uncultured bacterium. Its description in RNAcentral is "partial 16S ribosomal RNA". It matches the Rfam family "Bacterial small subunit ribosomal RNA", at positions 28 to 507 of the family's 1533-position model. The record is from RNAcentral.
GACGAACGCUGGCGGCGUGCCUAAUACAUGCAAGUUGAGCGCUGAAGGUUGGUACUUGUACCAACUGGAUGAGCAGCGAACGGGUGAGUAACGCGUGGGGAAUCUGCCUUUGAGCGGGGGACAACAUUUGGAAACGAAUGCUAAUACCGCAUAAAAACUUUAAACACAAGUUUUAAGUUUGAAAGAUGCAAUUGCAUCACUCAAAGAUGAUCCCGCGUUGUAUUAGCUAGUUGGUGAGGUAAAGGCUCACCAAGGCGAUGAUACAUAGCCGACCUGAGAGGGUGAUCGGCUACAUUGGGACUGAGACACGGCCCAAACUCCUACGGGAGGCAGCAGUAGGGAAUCUUCGGCAAUAGACGAAAGUCUGACCGAGCAACGCCGCGUGAGUGAAGAAGGUUUUCGGAUCGUAAAACUCUGUUGGUAGAGAAGAACGUUGGUGAGAGUGGAAAGCUCAUCAAGUGACGGUAACUACCCAGAAAGGGACGGCUAACUACGUG